RNAcentral lists this ribosomal RNA (301 nucleotides) under uncultured bacterium. RNAcentral's name for it is "partial 16S ribosomal RNA". It matches the Rfam family "Bacterial small subunit ribosomal RNA", at positions 509 to 807 of the family's 1533-position model. The record is from RNAcentral.
CAGCCGCCACGGUAAUGCGUAGGGUGCGAGCGUUAAUCGGAAUUAUUGGGCGUAAAGGGUGCGUAGGCGGUUUGGCAAGUCUUAUGUGAAAUCUUCGGGCUCAACCCGAAGUCUGCAUGAGAAACUGCCGGGCUUGAGUAUGGGAGAGGUGAGUGGAAUUUCCGGUGUAGCGGUGAAAUGCGUAGAUAUCGGAAGGAACACCUGUGGCGAAAGCGGCUCACUGGACCAUAACUGACGCUGAGGCACGAAAGCUAGGGGAGCAAACAGGAUUAGAUACCCGGGUAGUCCCUGUCUCUUAUAC